GACGAACGCUGGCGGCGGGCUUAACACAUGCAAGUCGAACGGAAAGGCACUGCUUGUGUGGGGUGCUCGAGUGGCGAACGGGUGAGUAACACGUGAGUAACCUGCCCUUGACUUUGGGAUAACUUCAGGAAACUGGGGCUAAUACCGUAUAGGAUCUCACGCAGCAUGGUGGGGGUGGGAAAUUUUCGGCGGUUGGGGAUGGACUCGCGGCUGAUCAGCUAGUUGGUGGGGUAGAGGCCCACCAAGGCGAUGAUCGGUAGCUGGCCUGAGUGGGGGACCAGCCACACUGGAACUGAGACACGGUCCAGAGUCCUACGGGAGGCAGCAGUGGGGAAUAUUGGACAAUGGGCGCAAGCCUGAUCCAGCCAUACCGCGUGGGUGAAGAAGGCCGUCGGGUUGUAAAGCCCUUUUGUUGGGAAAGAAAAGCAGCAGGUUAAUACCCCGCUGUUCUGACGGUACCCAAAGAAUAAGCACCGGCUAACUUCGUG
Molecule: ribosomal RNA, 488 nt
Filed under: uncultured bacterium
Lineage: Bacteria
Description: partial 16S ribosomal RNA
Rfam family: Bacterial small subunit ribosomal RNA
Source: RNAcentral